Long non-coding RNA from Daphnia carinata, 1161 nucleotides. RefSeq lists it as uncharacterized. The record is from RefSeq and is a predicted model, not a curated record. The transcript has 8 exons. Lineage: Eukaryota; Metazoa; Arthropoda; Branchiopoda; Diplostraca; Daphniidae.
AUUGGCUUAGCGCGUGCAGUCUACCUUCCUCGCUCGAUUUUGCUUCUUGACCUCGUGGCUUUGGCGAUUUUUGGCGUUUAAUUUACUCAUUUUUCAACGCUUUUCAAGGUGGUGGAAGUCGUACUUGCCAUGAGUUAUUAAACAGUUUGGAAAAGGACAUUUUUUCAUGUAAUGCCCACAAGGAGGAGGUGGGAGUCGAGCAUGUAGGUGUCAUAAGAAGUGGGACAUGUAGCAAGGGAUUUUCCCUAAGGAUUGGUCAUUGGUGGCAGCAAGUGUUACAAGUGUCAUGAAGUUGGCCACACCUCGAAAGGCUGUACGAAUCUAUUCGUGAAUUGACGGAAAACGGAAAGCCGCAUGAACAAUAUAUUCCGGAAGCUGUGACAUGCGAUGAAAAUGAACUGUUUAAGUGGGAUCGUCUGUGGGGAAAGCUUUAACAAUUUUGAUAAAGUUGUUCUUCAUCGAAUCCAGGUUACAGGAAAAGAUGUACCUCAAUACAUCACAUCACUCGAAGAACCCGGCCUGCGCCCACUACUACUUCAAAACAUUAAGAAUUCAGAAAAAAAUUAUGGUAGUUGGAACGAUUACCGAAGCUCUUCGGAUUCGUUUAUUUCACGCGUUAUGUGAUAAUUCUGCAGCGGGUCAUGCAGAUACUGUGAUCAGCAGAGAAGGUUAGAAGUGCGCUGCCCGGAAAGCAAAUUUGGGGUAAAAGAAAAAAACUUAUUAGAACUAGUAAGCCAUUUCCAAAUUCAACCAACAUAAAGGUACACAGUGAGAUUUGCUUAACAAUUAUGUUUCUUUAAUUGAUUUUAAAAUUAGGAAAAGGUUGAAGGGAAAACUUCGUUCUCUAGUAGUUUUUUAGUUAAAAUCCUUUUUGUGCAAAUUCAUGUUUGAAAUUGUUUACUUCAUUUUCGAAUGGUUCCGUUCACAUUUGUUAUUCAUUUGAGAUGUUGUAUUUACCAGUUACUGCAUUAUAUUUACCACUAUUGCAAGAUGUUUGUUUAUGAAAUACUACUGUUUUGUUUAUCUGGAAUGUUGUGUGGGAGUCCAUCAGGAAUUGCUGGUCUGCAGUAAAUUUGUCAGGCUAGGUGAUGAACAUUAAUGAAUCAGAAAAUGUUUUGCAUGGGUGGUGAAAGUUCUGACAGUUUUAACAGUUGUGAUGUG